Molecule: long non-coding RNA, 226 nt
Filed under: Homo sapiens (human)
Lineage: Eukaryota; Metazoa; Chordata; Mammalia; Primates; Hominidae
Description: non-protein coding lnc-MLXIPL-1:1
Source: RNAcentral
AGGCGCCCGUAGUUCCAGCUAUUCGCGAGGCUGAGGCAGGAGAAUGGUGGAGGUUGGAGUGAGCUGAGAUUACACCAAUAUACUCCAUCAUGGGCGACAGAGCAAGACUGUCUCAAAAAAAAAAAAAAAAAAAAAAAAGUACAGCUUGCUGGGCCCCACCUCCAGAGUUUCUGACCAAGUAACAGGUCUGGGAUGGAGUCUAAGAAUCUGCAUUCCUGGCUGGGUA